RNAcentral lists this ribosomal RNA (465 nucleotides) under uncultured bacterium. RNAcentral describes it as "partial 16S ribosomal RNA". It matches the Rfam family "Bacterial small subunit ribosomal RNA", at positions 338 to 795 of the family's 1533-position model. The record is from RNAcentral.
CCUACGGGUGGCUGCAGUGGGGAAUUUUGCGCAAUGCUCGUAAGAGUGACGCAGCGACGCCGCGUGCAUGACGACGGCCUUCGGGUCGUAAAGUUCUUUCGACAGGGGAGAAAAUGCCUAUAAGUAACUGUGUCUUUAUUGACGGUACCUGUAUAAGCAGCCCCGGCUACCUCCGUGACAGCAGCCGCGGUAAUACGGAGGGGGCGAGCGUUGUUCGGAGUGACUGGGCGUACAGAGCUCGUAGGCGGUGUUGUAAGUCAUUAGUGAAAGACCAGGGCUCAACGUUAGUAAGGCUAGUGAUACUAUAAUACUAGAGUAUCAGAGAGGAUGGCAGAAUUCCUGGUGUAGCGGUGAAAUGCGUAGAUAUCAGGAGGAAUACCGUUAGCGAAGGCGGCAAUCUGGCUGGAAACUGACGCUGAGGUGCGAAAGCGUGGGUAGCAAACAGGAUUAGAUACCCGUGUAGUC